CGACUCUGCCGUACUAGGUGUUUUAGCUACAUUUUGACUUUUCGUCUUAUUUAAAAUUUUUCUGCGAUUACUAUUUUUAUUGUUACUAGAGGAUAAAACAUGAAUAAUACUUUAUAUGUGACUAAUUUUUUUUUAUGUUUUUAAUAAUUUUUUAAAUAAGAUAAAUGGUCAAACAAUUAAACACGGAAAUCGAAAAAUAAAGUUAUG
RNAcentral lists this microRNA precursor (207 nucleotides) under Oryza brachyantha (malo sina). Its description in RNAcentral is "MIR812 microRNA precursor family". It matches the Rfam family "MIR812 microRNA precursor family". The record is from Rfam by way of RNAcentral. Lineage: Eukaryota; Viridiplantae; Streptophyta; Magnoliopsida; Poales; Poaceae.